GUUGGCAAAGAAAAGGAAGAGCGUGGCCGGCUACAACAGAAAGUUCUGGAGGAAUUAAAUCGACAAAUAGAAAAAAGAAAAGAAAUGGAAGAACGUGAAAAAAGAAAGAUAAUUGCUGAAGUAAAGCACAAGGAAUGGGUUCAGAAGAAAAAUAAGCAGGUUUUUACAGUGGAAAUUCCUACCCAGAACCAACUUUUUAUAACCCAAUUCCAUGGAAGCCAAUUCCUAUGCCCCCUCCUAAAGAAGCGAAGAGUGGACCAGGAAAGAAGAGCAGUAGAGAAGCAGUGAAGAAGAGUAACCGACCUGCCACGAGCCAGCCACUCACAGCAUCGUCCCUGGCAGUUCAUAAUGCCAGGAGCAGCCUUUGCCUGGGGUCUUUGUGCCGAGUACAGAGAUAGAGUCUGUGCACACAGUGUACCAGGACCUAGGACCUACCUUAAAACCAGGAUACCGUUUUUUAACACUUCUUAAUCAACAAGACAAUAUUUGAUGUGGUAAUUGACAGGUACCAAAAAUUUAAAUUUGUAUAUGGAAUCCUUAGAGUUAUAGUUUUUACAUUUUGGUUUUUAUAAACCGUUAAGGUUGAUCUAAUGAUUGUUUUAGUUUUUAUUAAAACUCAUUAUAGUAUCAAU
Molecule: long non-coding RNA, 632 nt
Filed under: Rattus norvegicus (Norway rat)
Lineage: Eukaryota; Metazoa; Chordata; Mammalia; Rodentia; Muridae
Description: long non-coding RNA NONRATT018438
Source: RNAcentral